GCCGGGCACGGUGGUGGGUGCCUGUAGUUCCAGCUACUCGGGAGGCUGAGGUGGGAGGAUUGCUUGAGCCCAGGAGUUCUGGGUUGUAGUGUGUUAUGCUGAUCGGGUGUCCGCACUAAGUUCGGCAUCAAUAUGGUGACCUCCAGGGAGCAGGGGACCACCAUGUUGGCUAAGGAGAGGUGAAUUGGCCCAGGUCGGAAAUGGAGCAGGUCAAAACUCCAGUGCUGAUCAGUAGCGGGGAUAGCUACUGCACUCCAGCUUGGGCAACUUAGCGAGAGCCUGUCCCU
RNAcentral lists this signal recognition particle RNA (287 nucleotides) under Cebus imitator (Panamanian white-faced capuchin). RNAcentral's name for it is "Metazoan signal recognition particle RNA (ENSCCAG00000013705.1)". It matches the Rfam family "Metazoan signal recognition particle RNA". Rfam says of the family: The signal recognition particle (SRP) is a universally conserved ribonucleoprotein. It is involved in the co-translational targeting of proteins to membranes. The eukaryotic SRP consists of a 300-nucleotide 7S RNA and six proteins: SRPs 72, 68, 54, 19, 14, and 9. Lineage: Eukaryota; Metazoa; Chordata; Mammalia; Primates; Cebidae. The record is from RNAcentral.